This is a long non-coding RNA of Cucumis melo (muskmelon), 568 nucleotides long. RefSeq lists it as uncharacterized. The transcript is spliced from 2 exons. Lineage: Eukaryota; Viridiplantae; Streptophyta; Magnoliopsida; Cucurbitales; Cucurbitaceae. The record is from RefSeq and is a predicted model, not a curated record.
AUUAUUACAAUAUAUUAGUUGUCACAAAAAUGAAUUUUAUUAGUAGGAAUUAUUUUGUUUCUUUCAACCAUUUUUUCUCGAUUUAUUUUAGUUUUGAUUUUGAUCUUCACCUUAGGGUUCGGCUUUUUUUUUUUACUUCGUCCUCUAUCAAAGGAGGAAGAUUCUUCGGUAGAAGGAUGGCAACGAAAGCUGUACUAUUCCGGCCGCCGGUGCUUUUCCUUCCAUUCACGCUUCUAACAAUGAUACGGAGAUGGAAACCUCAGCCAAAUCCUUCCACGGCCCUUUUCUUGAUGGGUGGGUGAUAUUUGCAGCAUAUGCAAAGCCCAGAAGUCCCAUAGGAUAUUCAUCUUACCAUUCUGAUAAAUGAUGCUUGUAAGGAGAUUCAACUCAUCCAUCCAAACUUUUUGGUUCAGAAUUUUGGAGACUGCCCAACAAAUUGAAAUUUUUUAUCAUAUGUUCUUCCUGAUAAAGUUAUGCUUGCUUCAUUUUCUUGUUUGUCCCCUGUAAUCCCACAUGUUAUACUAUUCACUGGUAUAGUCUUCGCUAAAAAUGAGAUUGUUUUUCCAAA